Molecule: ribosomal RNA, 480 nt
Filed under: uncultured Sphingobacteriales bacterium
Lineage: Bacteria; Pseudomonadati; Bacteroidota; Sphingobacteriia; Sphingobacteriales
Description: bacterial SSU rRNA
Rfam family: Bacterial small subunit ribosomal RNA
Source: RNAcentral
UCAAAGGAAUUGACGGGGCCCGCACAAGCGGAGGAACAUGUGGUUUAAUUCGAUGAUACGCGAGGAACCUUACCUGGGCUUAAAUGUAGAGUGCAUUGGAGGGAAACUUUCAUUUUCUUCGGAACUCUUUACAAGGUGCUGCAUGGUUGUCGUCAGCUCGUGCCGUGAGGUGUCGGGUUAAGUCCCAUAACGAGCGCAACCCUUAUCGUUAGUUGCCAGCGGGUAAAGCCGGGGACUCUAGCGAAACUGCCGGUGUAAACCGAGAGGAAGGUGGGGAUGACGUCAAAUCAGCACGGCCCUUAUGUCCAGGGCUACACACGUGUUACAAUGGCCGGUACAGAGGGCAGCUACCUGUUGACAGGAUGCGAAUCUCGAAAGCCGGUCUCAGUUCGGAUCGGAGUCUGCAACCCGACUCCGUGAAGCUGGAUUCGCUAGUAAUCGCGCAUCAGCCAUGGCGCGGUGAAUACGUUCCCGGGCCUU